GGGGAAGGCUCGUCCUCCCAGGGUAAGUCGGGACCUAAGCCGAGGCCGAGAGGCGUAGGCGAUGGAUAACAGGUUGAGAUUCCUGUACCAGUUAACUGCGUUUGACGAUGGAGGAACGCAGGAGGCUAAGCAAACCGUACGACUGGAAGAGUACGGCCAAGCAGUAAGUCAGGAUGUGAGUCAAAUGUUUACAUCCGUGUUGACAAGCUGUGAUGGGGAGCGAAAUUAA
This 229-nucleotide ribosomal RNA is filed under the name Limosilactobacillus reuteri. RNAcentral describes it as "Lactobacillus reuteri partial 23S ribosomal RNA". It matches the Rfam family "Bacterial large subunit ribosomal RNA", at positions 1357 to 1582 of the family's 2925-position model. Lineage: Bacteria; Bacillati; Bacillota; Bacilli; Lactobacillales; Lactobacillaceae. The record is from RNAcentral.